Molecule: ribosomal RNA, 253 nt
Filed under: uncultured bacterium
Lineage: Bacteria
Description: partial 16S ribosomal RNA
Rfam family: Bacterial small subunit ribosomal RNA
Source: RNAcentral
UACGGAGGGUGCAAGCGUUAAUCGGAAUUACUGGGCGUAAAGCGUGCGUAGGCGGUUCGUUAAGUCAGAUGUGAAAGCCCUGGGCUCAACCUGGGAACUGCAUUUGAAACUGGCGGACUAGAGUUUAGUAGAGGGGAGUGGAAUUUCAGGUGUAGCGGUGAAAUGCGUAGAUAUCUGAAGGAAAACCAGUGGCGAAGGCGACUCCCUGGACUAAAACUGACGCUGAGGUACGAAAGCGUGGGUAGCAAACAGG